This 73-nucleotide transfer RNA is filed under the name Canis lupus familiaris (dog). It matches the Rfam family "tRNA". Rfam says of the family: Transfer RNA (tRNA) molecules are approximately 80 nucleotides in length. Their secondary structure includes four short double-helical elements and three loops (D, anti-codon, and T loops). Further hydrogen bonds mediate the characteristic L-shaped molecular structure. tRNAs have two regions of fundamental functional importance: the anti-codon, which is responsible for specific mRNA codon recognition, and the 3' end, to which the tRNAs corresponding amino acid is attached (by aminoacyl-tRNA synthetases). tRNAs cope with the degeneracy of the genetic code in two manners: having more than one tRNA (with a specific anti-codon) for a particular amino acid; and 'wobble' base-pairing, i.e. permitting non-standard base-pairing at the 3rd anti-codon position. The record is from Rfam by way of RNAcentral. Lineage: Eukaryota; Metazoa; Chordata; Mammalia; Carnivora; Canidae. RNAcentral also lists the same sequence under 1 other name.
GCCUGGCUGGUUCAGUUGGUAGACCAUGUGACUCUUGAUCUCACAGUCAUGAGCUAGAGCCCCAUGUUGGGUG